GCUCCACAUAUACCCAUCUUGGAUUCCAAGGUACAUACGCCAUUGCCAACAAGGUCUUGAUAGAAUAUAUAUAGGCGUUCAUUCCCGGAGCUCCUCUGAUUCGAUCUUGUCCACCGCUGCAUGAAAGCUUUUGCAUCUAUAUAUAUAUCGUUCUGCUGCUUCUCCAGCUACUUUCAGCUAGAAUCGAGCUGGUGCUCUCUUUGUGCGUGGUUCCUUCACAUAUAUAGUCUACAGUAUCAGUAAGGCGUGCGAUAUGGCACUAUCAGCUUCCCUGGUUCAGCAAGAACUGCAGCAGCCUGCAGAGAGGCAGUUGAGGAACCAGCUCGCUGCAGCCGCGAGGAGCAUCAACUGGACCUAUGCCCUCUUCUGGUCCAUUUCAAGCACUCAACCAGGAUUGACCGACAAAAACGCACGGAAGAGAAAAGAUAUACGCGACUCGGAAGCAUGUAACUUUACACGGAACAUGGUGACUUUUCCAAGUUCUAAAAGAUUAGGAGGAUGGACUAAGAGUUGUU
This is a long non-coding RNA of Sorghum bicolor (sorghum), 515 nucleotides long. RefSeq lists it as uncharacterized. NCBI's taxonomy places the organism in Eukaryota, Viridiplantae, Streptophyta, Magnoliopsida, Poales, Poaceae. The record is from RefSeq and is a predicted model, not a curated record. The transcript is spliced from 3 exons.